This 369-nucleotide ribosomal RNA is filed under the name uncultured Glomus. RNAcentral describes it as "LSU rRNA". The record is from RNAcentral. Lineage: Eukaryota; Fungi; Glomeromycota; Glomeromycetes; Glomerales; Glomeraceae.
UUGAAAGGGAAACGAUUGAAGUCAGUCGUGCUGGCGCGAAAUCAACCUCCUCGUCGAGAGGACACAUGGCGUGGCGAGCCUCAAAACCGUCACGAAGCGUGAACUCUUGGCGAAAAGGAGCACUUUCGUGUCCGCUGGUUAACAUCAAUUUCGAACGUCAUAAAAAGGCUGGAGGGAUGUGGCUCCUUCGGGAGUGUUAUAACCUUUAGCGGAACGUGGUGGUCGGGAUUGAGGAUUGCAACGAAUACCUUUAGGGCUGUUCCACCUGGCUUCUCUUUGGUAUCCUGGUGAAGACAGCUUGCUGACUUUGUUAGGAUUCGCCUUUGAACAGGCUAGAGUGUGAGCAAAUUCGUUAAGGAUGUUGACGUA